CAGCACCUCAAGUGGUCAGGAUGAUUAUUGGGCCUAAAGCAUCCGUAGCCGGCUCUGUAAGUUUUCGGUUAAAUCUGUACGCUCAACGUACAGGCUGCCGGGAAUACUGCAGCGCUAGGGAGUGGGAGAGGUAGACGGUACUCGGUAGGAAGGGGUAAAAUCCUUUGAUCUAUUGAUGACCACCUGUGGCGAAGGCGGUCUACCAGAACACGUCCGACGGUGAGGGAUGAAAGCUGGGGGAGCGAACCGGAUUAGAUACCCGAGUAGUCC
This 270-nucleotide ribosomal RNA is filed under the name uncultured archaeon. RNAcentral describes it as "partial 16S ribosomal RNA". It matches the Rfam family "Archaeal small subunit ribosomal RNA", at positions 477 to 747 of the family's 1478-position model. The record is from RNAcentral.